AUGGAAAAACACCUGUUUCUGAUUUUAAUUCUGACUUCAGGUGUGAUGACUGCAGACAAGAUUGGGGCAAAUAAAGAAACUGUUAUAAAUAAGGAAGACGAGACUGUGACCCUCAGCUGCUCAUAUGAAACAGACAGCAAUUAUGUCAGACUUUACUGGUACAGACAGUAUCCUAAUGGAGAGCCUCAGUAUUUAAUGUGGAAAGAGGCUCGUUCAUGGAGUGAUACUGGGAAACCCUCUGAUCCUCGCUUUCAGUCGACUACAUCACGAACAUCCACUGAACUCAUUAUUAACAGUGUGACUCUGUCAGAUUCAGCUCUCUAUUAUUGUGCUCUGAGAGUUGGAGCCCAGUGA
Molecule: non-coding RNA, 354 nt
Organism: Megalobrama amblycephala (Wuchang bream)
Lineage: Eukaryota; Metazoa; Chordata; Actinopteri; Cypriniformes; Xenocyprididae
Source: the annotation of a RefSeq genome assembly